AGUACUUCUUUGAAAAUUCCAAACAACUUUAAUGAGUCAAUAAUUAAAAUCUAAAUAAGUCCAUUAACAAAUAGUAGACAAAUGGUCCCAACAGUAGCUCAGGAUAUUCUGCACAUUAGCUGCUAUCCUCACAAUGUGUGGUCCGCCGGUGAGGUAGCGUGUGUUCCACGCAGCGUUCCACCUGAAGCCUCACUCAAGGAUGUGCUUCC
Molecule: non-coding RNA, 209 nt
Organism: Pelobates cultripes (western spadefoot toad)
Lineage: Eukaryota; Metazoa; Chordata; Amphibia; Anura; Pelobatidae
Source: the annotation of a GenBank genome assembly